This 337-nucleotide unclassified non-coding RNA is filed under the name soil metagenome. Its description in RNAcentral is "partial contains 5.8S ribosomal RNA, internal transcribed spacer 2, and large subunit ribosomal RNA". The stretch from base 1 to 120 matches the Rfam family "5.8S ribosomal RNA", at positions 35 to 154 of the family's 154-position model. The record is from RNAcentral.
GAUGAAGAACGUAGCGAAAUGCGAUAAGUAGUGUGAAUUGCAGAAUUCAGUGAAUCAUCGAAUCUUUGAACGCACAUUGCGCCCCUUGGUAUUCCAUGGGGCAUGCCUGUUCGAGCGUCAUUUGUACCUUCAAGCUCUGCUUGGUGUUGGGUGUUUGUCUCGCCUCUGCGUGUAGUCUCGCCUCAAAACAAUUGGCAGCCGGCGUAUUGAUUUCGGAGCGCAGUACAUCUCGCGCUUUGCACUCAUAACGACGACGUCCAAAAGUACAUUUUUACACUCUUGACCUCGGAUCAGGUAGGGAUACCCGCUGAACUUAAGCAUAUCAAUAAGCGGAGGA